This 514-nucleotide ribosomal RNA is filed under the name fungal sp. BLH103. RNAcentral describes it as "eukaryotic LSU rRNA". The stretch from base 147 to 300 matches the Rfam family "5.8S ribosomal RNA". The record is from RNAcentral. Lineage: Eukaryota; Fungi.
AACCGAGCUUCACUCCCAACCCCUGUGACAUACCAAUUGUUGCCUCGGCGGAUCAGCCCGCUCCCGGUAAAACGGGACGGCCCGCCAGAGGACCCCUAAACUCUGUUUCUAUAUGUAACUUCUGAGUAAAACCAUAAAUAAAUCAAAACUUUCAACAACGGAUCUCUUGGUUCUGGCAUCGAUGAAGAACGCAGCAAAAUGCGAUAAGUAAUGUGAAUUGCAGAAUUCAGUGAAUCAUCGAAUCUUUGAACGCACAUUGCGCCCGCCAGUAUUCUGGCGGGCAUGCCUGUUCGAGCGUCAUUUCAACCCUCAAGCCCUCGGGUUUGGUGUUGGGGAUCGGCGAGCCCUUGCGGCAAGCCGGCCCCGAAAUCUAGUGGCGGUCUCGCUGCAGCUUCCAUUGCGUAGUAGUAAAACCCUCGCAACUGGUACGCGGCGCGGCCAAGCCGUUAAACCCCCAACUUCUGAAUGUUGACCUCGGAUCAGGUAGGAAUACCCGCUGAACUUAAGCAUAUCA